Molecule: ribosomal RNA, 292 nt
Filed under: uncultured bacterium
Lineage: Bacteria
Description: partial 16S ribosomal RNA
Rfam family: Bacterial small subunit ribosomal RNA
Source: RNAcentral
GUGCCAGCAGCCGCGGUAAGACGGGGGGUUCUAGCGUUGUUCGGAAUCAUUGGGCGUAAAGCGUGUGCAGGUGGCUCUGUAAGUUAGAUGUGAAAGCCUUGGGCUUAACCCAAGAAGUGCAUUUAAAACUACAAAGCUUGAGUAUGGAAGAGGGUCGUGGAAUUCCUGGUGUAGUGGUGAAAUACGUAGAUAUCAGGAGGAACACCGGUGGCGAAGGCGGCGACCUGGUCCAAUACUGACACUCAUACACGAAAGCGCGGGGAUCAAACAGGAUUAGAAACCCUGGUAGUCC